Molecule: small RNA, 658 nt
Filed under: Pan troglodytes (chimpanzee)
Lineage: Eukaryota; Metazoa; Chordata; Mammalia; Primates; Hominidae
Description: processed transcript
Source: RNAcentral
GUGACUUGCUGAGUCCAGAUAACACUGACUGUCAGAGAGAAACAUGAACCAGAAGCUACUGAAGUUGGAGAACUUGCUACGAUUUCACACUAUUUAUAGGCAACUGCACAGUCUGUGUCAAAGAAGAGCAUUAAGACAGUGGAGGCAUGGGUUUUCAUCUGCUUACCCUGUGUGGACAGCUCAACUGUAUGCCUGGCCCUGGCCAACAGAUGUACUCACUGGGGCUGCUUUAUCUCAGUAUAGGCUUCUAGUAACAAAAAAGGAAGAAGGACCAUGGAAAUCUCAGUUAUCUUCAACAAAAUCUAAAAAGGUGGUAGAAGUAUGGAUUGGAAUGACUAUUGAGGAACUGGCCAGGGCAAUGGAAAAAAACACAGAUUAUGUAUAUGAAGCUUUAUUGAACACUGAUAUUGACAUAGAUUCACUGGAAGCAGACUCACAUUUAGAUGAAGUCUGGAUCAAAGAAGUGAUAACGAAGGCAGGGAUGAAGUUAAAGUGGAGUAAAUUAAAACAGGACAAAGUCAGAAAAAAUAAAGAUGCUGUAAGAAGUCUCUCUGCCUUCUGGGGAAAAGAUAACUUUUCUUGAUACUCCAGGACAUGCUGCUUUCUCAGCAAUGAGAGCCAGAGGUGCUCAGGUCACUGACAUUGUCAUAUUGGUUGU